GACGUCCCACUCCAAUAGGCCCAGUCUAAAAUUGGAAAUAAUUAGGGCUUUAAUAAAAUUCAAUAGUUACUUAAUUAAAGGAGAUAUACCCCUUAAUCUACUCAUUCAAAAUAAUUUCGAUUCAGAUUUUUCCCCUCUCUCUCUCCGGGAACCUUCCCCUUCCCCUUCCCCCUUGCCCUUUCCGUCAACUUCCCCACCGCCGCCGUUCUCCGUCACCGCCGCCCCCUCCCCCUUCUCUCUCUCUCAACCG
This 250-nucleotide long non-coding RNA is filed under the name Salvia miltiorrhiza (redroot sage). RNAcentral's name for it is "long non-coding RNA (SMIL_LNC003518)". Lineage: Eukaryota; Viridiplantae; Streptophyta; Magnoliopsida; Lamiales; Lamiaceae. The record is from RNAcentral.